RNAcentral lists this ribosomal RNA (992 nucleotides) under uncultured bacterium. RNAcentral describes it as "bacterial SSU rRNA". It matches the Rfam family "Bacterial small subunit ribosomal RNA", at positions 8 to 1031 of the family's 1533-position model. The record is from RNAcentral.
AGAGUUUGAUCAUGGCUCAGAAUCAACGCUGGCGGCGCGCUUAACACAUGCAAGUCGCACGAGAAAGUGGAGCAAUCCAUGAGUACAGUGGCGUACGGGUGAGUAACACGUGGAUCAUCUACCUCUUAGUGGGGAAUAACCCUGGGAAACCGGGGCUAAUACCGCAUAAGCUCGAGAGAGGAAAGCAGCAAUGCGCUGAGAGAGGAGUCCGCGGCCGAUUAGCUAGUUGGCAGGGUAAAAGCCUACCAAGGCAAAGAUCGGUAGCCGGCCUGAGAGGGCACACGGCCACACUGGCACUGAAACACGGGCCAGACUCCUACGGGAGGCAGCAGUGGGGAAUCUUGCACAAUGGGGGAAACCCUGAUGCAGCGACGCCGCGUGAGCGAUGAAGCCCUUCGGGGUGUAAAGCUCUUUCGGCAGGGACGAUCAUGACGGUACCUGCAGAAGCAGCUGCGGCUAACUACGUGCCAGCAGCCGCGGUAAUACGUAGGCAGCGAGCGUUGUUCGGAGUUACUGGGCGUAAAGGGUGUGUAGGCGGUUGCUUAAGUUUGGUGUGAAAUCUCCCGGCUCAACUGGGAGGGUGCGCCGAAUACUGAGUGACUCGAGUGCGGGAGAGGAGAGUGGAAUUCCUGGUGUAGCGGUGAAAUGCGUAGAUAUCAGGAGGAACACCGGCGGUGUAGACGGCUCUCUGGACCGUAACUGACGCUGAGACACGAAAGCGUGGGUAGCAAACAGGAUUAGAUACCCUGGUAGUCCACGCCCUAAACGAUGCAUAUUUGGUGUGGGUCAUUCAGUUGAUCCGUGCCGGAGCUAACGCGUUAAAUAUGCCGCCUGGGGAGUACAGUCGCAAGGCUGAAACUCAAAGGAAUUGACGGGGCCCGCACAAGCGGUGGAGCAUGUGGGUUCAAUUCGACGCAACGCGAAGAACCUUACCUGGGCUCGAACGGCUGGUUACCGGCGGUGGAAACAUCGCUACCCCGCAAGGGGGUCCA